GAGUUUGAUCAUGGCUCAAGACGAGCGCUGGCGGCGCGCCUAACACAUGCAAGUCGAACGAGCGAGAGAGAGCUUGCUUUCUCGAGCGAGUGGCGAACGGGUGAGUAACGCGUGAGGAACCUGCCUCAAAGAGGGGGACAACAGUUGGAAACGACUGCUAAUACCGCAUAAGCCCACGGGUCGGCAUCGACCAGAGGGAAAGGAGCAAUCCGCUUUGAGAUGGCCUCGCGUCCGAUUAGCUAGUUGGUGAGGUAACGGCCACCAAGGCAACGAUCGGUAGCCGGACUGAGAGGUUGAACGGCCACGAUUGGGACUGAGACACGGCCCAGACUCCUACGGGAGGCA
Molecule: ribosomal RNA, 345 nt
Filed under: uncultured bacterium
Lineage: Bacteria
Description: bacterial SSU rRNA
Rfam family: Bacterial small subunit ribosomal RNA
Source: RNAcentral